RNAcentral lists this ribosomal RNA (163 nucleotides) under uncultured bacterium. RNAcentral's name for it is "partial 16S rRNA". It matches the Rfam family "Bacterial small subunit ribosomal RNA", at positions 355 to 511 of the family's 1533-position model. The record is from RNAcentral.
UAGGGAAUCUUCCACAAUGGACGCAAGUCUGAUGGAGCAACGCCGCGUGAGUGAAGGAGGGUUUCGGCUCGUAAAGCUCUGUUGUUAAAGAAGAACGUGGGUAAGAGUAACUGUUUACCCAGUGACGGUAUUUACCAGAAAGCCACGGCUAACUACGUGCCAG